Molecule: ribosomal RNA, 353 nt
Filed under: uncultured bacterium
Lineage: Bacteria
Description: bacterial SSU rRNA
Rfam family: Bacterial small subunit ribosomal RNA
Source: RNAcentral
AGAGUUUGAUCCUGGCUCAGGAUGAACGCUAGCUACAGGCUUAACACAUGCAAGUCGAGGGGAAACGACAUCGAAAGCUUGCUUUUGAUGGGCGUCGACCGGCGCACGGGUGAGUAACGCGUAUCCAACCUGCCCACCACUUGGGGAUAACCUUGCGAAAGUAAGACUAAUACCCAAUGACGUCUCUAGAAGGCAUCUGAAAGAGAUUAAAGAUUUAUCGGUGAUGGAUGGGGAUGCGUCUGAUUAGCUUGUUGGCGGGGUAACGGCCACCAAGGCGACGAUCAGUAGGGGUUCUGAGGAGGAAGGUCCCCCANAUUGGAACUGAGACACGGUCCAAACUCCUACGGGAGGCA